Molecule: long non-coding RNA, 2111 nt
Organism: Drosophila persimilis
Lineage: Eukaryota; Metazoa; Arthropoda; Insecta; Diptera; Drosophilidae
Exons: 2
Source: RefSeq, a predicted model, not a curated record
AAUUAUAGAAAAAAAUAAAACCAAAAUUGAAAGUAAACCAAAACAAAAAAAAAACCAAAAAAGAACAUAAGAUGGAACCCCGAGAAAACGAUUGUAAAAUUUUAAUUAUUAUUAUUCAAUAAUAAAUACAAAAAAGGAAAGAUUUGACAGAAAUACAAACAUAUACAAUUAGGUUUUAUUUCAAUCCAUAUUCCAACUUCAACACGUAAUUACCCGUAAUUGGAUCCCGGAGAGAGGAUCCUGAUGCUCAAGACCAAAACGAAAACGAAAACGAAGACCAAGAUGAAGCCGCCUUCAAAUGUCGGAAAGGUAAAUGAGUCUCGUGCUAGACAUAAGCUGAUAAUUAAGAUAUAGGCAAUGUACAAUAGAACGAGUACACAAUUACGCUAAUGCUGACACCAAGCACAUAUCUGACCAAUGUAAAUAUGUACAGAUGUUCAGUCGAUCAAUAUUCAUAAAAUCCUAUUCCUAGCAUCAUGAAUUCAUUGCAAAGCGACACUUGACACAUUGUACAAACCAAAGCUUAGUUUACUUAGUCAUAGAAAACAAGCGAACAUUAUAACCUGAAGCAAAAACAGGGCAGCACAUUGCUCUGAUAUCAUAACAUAUAUUCAAAGUGUUAAAAUUUCCCGUCUGACUAUCAAGAAAUAGAAGCUUGCAAAUUUUACUAACGAAAAAUUCUGAUUCCCUGCGCAGUUUGUCAACAACCAGCUGAAAGUUAAAUUCAAAUCCAGUCGUUCCUUUACGAUCUCCUUAUAACAGAAAUAACUAUAAAACAAAAACAUAUGUAUAUCCAGCUAGCAAAUGCCAAUCAACAGAUCUUACCCUCGAAUAUCGAAAAGCAGAAGGGAUGCUGCGUGUAUGUAUGACCAGUGUUUUACCAAAUCUCAUUUUUAUUAAACAACAACCAACAAUGGGAAGUUGACAUACUGUUUUCGCAAGAAAUACUUUUCUAUUUAAUCGAAGCUUUCGGCAUGAUUUCUUUAUAUCCCACCGCUAUUUAUCCAAAAACUUCACUCUAAUUAGACCACAUUUUCUCAAAAAUUGUACAAGAUUCCCCUAUAAUCAAGUCAGAUUUCCCAAUACUCCUGCAUUGUUUUUGAAUUAGUUUUUGGCAUGUUCAAAUCCCCCUUUAGUUAUUACUGUGAUUAAAUUUAUUAACGUAUUGACGUCUAAUUUUCCCCUUGACUGCUAACUUAUUUGCGAGUAUCUCGGAGACCUGGAAGCGAAUAUAUCGUGGACAACGUUGGACACGUGCAAUUGCAGUAUACUGGAAUAUGGAACAUCAUUUAUAAUUAAUCUAGAGUAUAAAAAUGUGUGUUUUAAUUUUAUCUUUGUUAAGAUGUUUUUGUACAUCGUAUUCGAGUACAGAAAUGUAUAUUUCUAAUUUUGUUUAAAAUAAAAUUUGUAACGUUUUGAAAAACAAUGUGUAUCACAUAGACAAUCAUGACACACUACAAUUCUCUUUAGUUCUUUAUUACAAGUAAGACCACAUGUCUCCCAGUCAGUUCCCAUCGUGAUAUAUGAACCAGACUACUCUUCAAGCUUUGACUGAUCUAUUCCAUAUAUUUAUAUUUCAUAAAAAGUCAAUCAAUCUAUGUAAAAAUAAAAAGGGAGGGUACAUAUACACAUACUAAAUGCGAGUACGAAUCAUCCUUCACAUAUUCACCAAUUUCUAUGUGUUGAAAUUUCAGGAAUUUCUAUAUGACUGGGGACUGCUAUUGUGUCCGUUAUUAUUACUUAAGAUGAUGUAUAUGUAUUAGUUUUAAGACCUCAAAAGACAAUCACUUAUCAAAAGAAAACUGCAUUGGAUCUACUUUGGAUGGAGCAACUAUGGAGAAAGUUAAUUACGAGUCUGGUACAGCCCACGCCUAAAGAACUCUGCCCGGUAUGCAGAAACGGAUAACUUCACGGCCAGACUGACGAAAUGUGGGCAGGAGUGUUUGCGGUAGUUCCAGAUUAGUUAUUUGGAUAUAAUCGCAGACGGAAACUUUAAUACCAUAUCACCUCUGGCGUAAAUUGCUGACUGGUGAUAAAAUUAAUAUAAUAUGUCGAUUGAGCAUACACAAACAUUUAUUGAUUUCGAUAAGAAUAAAUCUCUUUGUAAGAUA